This 24-nucleotide non-coding RNA is filed under the name Arabidopsis thaliana (thale cress). Lineage: Eukaryota; Viridiplantae; Streptophyta; Magnoliopsida; Brassicales; Brassicaceae. The record is from RNAcentral.
GAGGGACUCUGUUAAGGGAUCACC